GGAGAGUAAAACGAUCUGGCGGCGUUCGCGGACUUCAAAUCCGAUGACGGAGCAGUUGACUGUUUCGUGGGAGGUUCGAUUCCUUCACUCUCUCGCCA
This 98-nucleotide transfer RNA is filed under the name Campylobacter ureolyticus. RNAcentral describes it as "tRNA-Sec". It matches the Rfam family "Selenocysteine transfer RNA". Lineage: Bacteria; Pseudomonadati; Campylobacterota; Epsilonproteobacteria; Campylobacterales; Campylobacteraceae. The record is from RNAcentral.